UACGGGAGGCAGCAGUGGGGAAUAUUGCACAAUGGGCGCAAGCCUGAUGCAGCCAUGCCGCGUGUAUGAAGAAGGCCUUCGGGUUGUAAAGUACUUUCAGUCGUGAGGAAGGUGUUAAGGUUAAUAACCUUAGCAAUUGACGUUAGCGACAGAAGAAGCACCGGCUAACUCCGUGCCAGCAGCCGCGGUAAUACGGAGGGUGCGAGCGUUAAUCGGAAUUACUGGGCGUAAAGGGCACGCAGGCGGUUAAUUAAGUUGGAUGUGAAUCCCCGGGCUUAACCUGGGAAUGGCAUUCAAGACUGGUUAGCUAGAGUCUUGUAGAGGGGGUAGAAUUCCAUGUGUAGCGGUGAAAUGCGUAGAGAUGUGGAGGAAUACCGGUGGCGAAGGCGGCCCCUGGACAAAGACUGACGCUCAUGUGCGAAGCGUGGGGAGCAAAC
RNAcentral lists this ribosomal RNA (437 nucleotides) under uncultured bacterium. RNAcentral's name for it is "bacterial SSU rRNA". It matches the Rfam family "Bacterial small subunit ribosomal RNA", at positions 340 to 773 of the family's 1533-position model. The record is from RNAcentral.